AGAACGAACGCUGGCGGCGGGGUUUAGGCAUGCAAGUCGAGCGAGAAAGCCGAAAGGCAAGUAAAGCGGCGUAAGGGUGAGUAAUGGUUAGUCAACGUACCGAGCAGACGCGAAUAAUUUCUCGAAAGGGAUUGUAAUGCGCGAUGAGACCACAUGGCCUACGGGCUGAGAGGUCAAAGGUCGGGGAUCCUUCGGGACCUGGCGCUGUUUGAGCGGACUAACUCUGAUUAGCUAGUUGGCGGGGUAACGGCCCACCAAGGCGAUGAUCAGUAGCCGGUCUGAGAGGAUGUCCGGCCACACUGGGACUGAGACACUGCCCAGACUCCUACGGGAGGCUGCAGUCGCGAAUCAUUCACAAUGGGCGCAAGCCUGAUGAUGCCACGCCGCGUGCGGGAUGAAGGCCCUCUGGGUUGUAAACCGCUGUCAAGGGAGGGGAAACGUAGUGGUGUUAACAGCGCCAUGCUUGACUGCUCCCUAAAGGAGCCCCGGCAAA
Molecule: ribosomal RNA, 493 nt
Filed under: uncultured bacterium
Lineage: Bacteria
Description: SSU rRNA
Rfam family: Bacterial small subunit ribosomal RNA
Source: RNAcentral